UAGAGUUUGGUUAGGAUUUGAUUUAGGAUUAGGAUUUGGUUAGGAUUUGAUUUAGGAUUUAGGGUUUGGUUUAGAGUUUGAUUAGGAUUUUAUUUAGGAUUAGGAUUUUAUUUAGGGUUUAGAAUUUGAGUUAGGAUUUGAUUAGGAUUUGAUUUAGGAUUAGUGUUUGAUUAGGAUUUGAUUAGGAUUUGAUUUAGGAUUUUUUUAGGAUUUGAUUUAGAGUUUAAGAUUUGGUUUAGAGUUUGGUUAGGAUUUAAUUUAGGAUUUAGGAUUGGGUUUAGGAUUUGGUUUAGGAUUUGAUUUAGAAUUUGGUUAGGAUUUGGUUUAGGAUUUGGUUGAGGUUUGGUUUAAGGUUUGUUUAGGAUUUGGUUUAGGGUUUAGGGUUUGAUUUAGGAUUUAGAAUUUUAUUAGGAUUUAAGAUUUAAUUAAUUUUGACUUAAAGUUUAAAUGAAAUCCAAUAGGAUUUUAACUAGAAUUAAAUUAAGAUUGAAUUGAGAUGUAUUUGAAAGAUAUUUGUGAUCGUUCUAAUAUUUCUUGAAGAUUUCUUAUUGUUUCUUUGAAAUUUCUUUGAGGUUUUUUUGAAUUUUAUUAAAGCUUUUUUAGAAUUAUUAUGGUCUAAUUAGAGUUUAGUUAGUAUUCUAUUAUAAUUAGAAUUUUGUUGUUGCAAUUUCCAUUCUACCUUCUACAGCCAUAUGUCCAAAGCAUUUUCAAGGA
This 714-nucleotide long non-coding RNA is filed under the name Physcomitrium patens. Its description in RNAcentral is "long non-coding RNA (PPAT_LNC005558)". Lineage: Eukaryota; Viridiplantae; Streptophyta; Bryopsida; Funariales; Funariaceae. The record is from RNAcentral.